AAUGAAAGAGGGAGGCAGGCCUAACACAUGCAAGUCGAGCGGAUGAAGGGAGCUUGCUCUUGGAUUCAGCGGCGGACGGGUGAGUAAUGCCUAGGAAUCUGCCUGGUAGUGGGGGAUAACGUCCGGAAACGGGCGCUAAUACCGCAUACGUCCUGAGGGAGAAAGUGGGGGAUCUUCGGACCUCACGCUAUCAGAUGAGCCUAGGUCGGAUUAGCUAGUUGGUGGGGUAAAGGCCUACCAAGGCGACGAUCCGUAACUGGUCUGAGAGGAUGAUCAGUCACACUGGAACUGAGACACGGUCCAGACUCCUACGGGAGGCAGCAGUGGGGAAUAUUGGACAAUGGGCGAAAGCCUGAUCCAGCCAUGCCGCGUGUGUGAAGAAGGUCUUCGGAUUGUAAAGCACUUUAAGUUGGGAGGAAGGGCAGUAAGUUAAUACCUUGCUGUUUUGACGUUACCAACAGAAUAAGCACCGGCUAACUUCGUG
RNAcentral lists this ribosomal RNA (484 nucleotides) under uncultured bacterium. RNAcentral describes it as "partial 16S ribosomal RNA". It matches the Rfam family "Bacterial small subunit ribosomal RNA", at positions 29 to 507 of the family's 1533-position model. The record is from RNAcentral.